Molecule: long non-coding RNA, 327 nt
Filed under: Junco hyemalis (dark-eyed junco)
Lineage: Eukaryota; Metazoa; Chordata; Aves; Passeriformes; Passerellidae
Description: lncRNA (ENSJHYG00000000906.1)
Source: RNAcentral
AAGGGGAAGCUUUGCAGCAUUUAAGGCUUUGUCCUGACCUUGGGUGUCUGGGUGCAGUGCCAGGUCACGGUCCUGACGGAAGCACCUCCCGUGGAAGUGAGGCCCACUGUUGGCAGUGAGCAAGUUGGACAUCUCAAGAUUUUCAACUGCUCCUGUCCUCCUGGACAAAAGGGGGAGAGGGGUCCACUUGGCUUUGAAGGUCCCAAGGGUCAAAAGGGAGAAAGAGGCAUCCCAGGGCUUCCUGGACUCCGAGGAGAAAAAGGAGAGUCAGUAAGUAAGAAAUACCCAAUGAUUUUGCUAAAGGAGAUGAAAAUGUGAGCAGUUGUU